Molecule: unclassified non-coding RNA, 348 nt
Filed under: soil metagenome
Description: partial contains 5.8S ribosomal RNA, internal transcribed spacer 2, and large subunit ribosomal RNA
Rfam family: 5.8S ribosomal RNA (bases 1-120)
Source: RNAcentral
GAUGAAGAACGUAGCGAAAUGCGAUAAGUAAUGUGAAUUGCAGAGUUCAGUGAAUCAUCGAAUCUUUGAACGCACAUUGCGCCCCCUGGUAUUCCGGGGGGCAUGCCUGUCCGAGCGUCAUUGCUGCCCUCAAGCACGGCUUGUGUGUUGGGCCCCGCCCCCCGGCUCCCGGGGGGCGGGCCCGAAAGGCAGCGGCGGCACCGCGUCCGGUCCUCGAGCGUAUGGGGCUUCGUCACCCGCUCCGUAGGCCCGGCCGGCGCCCGCCGGCGACCCCCCUCAAUCUUUUCAGGUUGACCUCGGAUCAGGUAGGGAUACCCGCUGAACUUAAGCAUAUCAAUAAGCGGAGGA